CAAUGCAAUAGAGGUCGCGAUGACUACAAGAAUUAUGUAAGAACACGAAUUCAAUGAUCAUAAUUUUUAGAGUCAGCGCCGAAACGAAACGGUUUUCGUGAAUUAGUUUUGUUGGGCUGCAGUAGAAUAUGCUGCAGACUGUCCUGGAUAAUCCCCAGGGAGCGCUAUAAGAUUU
Non-coding RNA from Lactobacillus kalixensis DSM 16043, 175 nucleotides. NCBI's taxonomy places the organism in Bacteria, Bacillati, Bacillota, Bacilli, Lactobacillales, Lactobacillaceae. The record is from Rfam.